CUAGCCGUAAACGAUGGAUACUAGGCGUUGAGAGGAUCGACCCUCGCAGUGCCGUAGCUAACGCGUUAAGUAUCCCGCCUGGGGAGUACGCGCGCAAGCGUGAAACUCAAAGGAAUUGACGGGGGCCCGCACAAGCGGUGGAGUAUGUGGUUUAAUUCGAUGCAACGCGAAGAACCUUACCAGGGCUUGACAUGUCCGGAACCCUGCCCAAAGGUGGGGGUGCCCAUGGGAGCCGGAACACAGGUGGUGC
Molecule: ribosomal RNA, 250 nt
Filed under: uncultured Chroococcidiopsis sp.
Lineage: Bacteria; Bacillati; Cyanobacteriota; Cyanophyceae; Chroococcidiopsidales; Chroococcidiopsidaceae
Description: partial 16S ribosomal RNA
Rfam family: Bacterial small subunit ribosomal RNA
Source: RNAcentral